AUUGGUUAGAAUUUGGUUAGUUUUAAUUGGAUGUAUACUAUUAGGAGAUGACAUGUUGUUAAUCCCAUCACUAUUGUUCAAAUGGAGUGCCCCUUUGGACUCGUGACAUUGAGGAGGAGAUAGUUCCUCUCUGUAGAAACUUGAGCUUCUUGGUCUUUCUGAGGAUCAGAAGUGGCUCGUAACUAUGUGGACCUCAUUUGUUAAGAAACAUCGGUAAGUUGUUCUUGUUUUGAUUCAAGUCGUUUACUUCUUCUUGGAUUUGAACUUGUUGUUUUUGGAUUUCUACUUUCUGCUAUGAAUUGGCAUACGAAGCUCCCUGGUAUAAUAUUAAUAUUCUUCAUCUUUGAUUAUGUGUUCAUCAAAACGCAAAUACUUGAACGAAAGGAAUGAUUUUCCACAUCAAAAAGACUUUACUUAAAAAGAAAAUUUUAAGACGAAUCUGAUGAUGUGUUUUUACUCUUUGAAUCAAU
RNAcentral lists this small RNA (470 nucleotides) under Vigna angularis var. angularis. Its description in RNAcentral is "Non-protein coding transcript". Lineage: Eukaryota; Viridiplantae; Streptophyta; Magnoliopsida; Fabales; Fabaceae. The record is from RNAcentral.